RNAcentral lists this ribosomal RNA (497 nucleotides) under uncultured bacterium. Its description in RNAcentral is "partial 16S ribosomal RNA". It matches the Rfam family "Bacterial small subunit ribosomal RNA", at positions 28 to 507 of the family's 1533-position model. The record is from RNAcentral.
GAUGAACGCUGGCGGCGUGCCUAAUACAUGCAAGUCGAGCGAACAGACGAGGAGCUUGCUCCUCUGACGUUAGCGGCGGACGGGUGAGUAACACGUGGAUAACCUACCUAUAAGACUGGGAUAACUUCGGGAAACCGGAGCUAAUACCGGAUAAUAUAUUGAACCGCAUGGUUCAAUAGUGAAAGACGGUUUUGCUGUCACUUAUAGAUGGAUCCGCGCCGCAUUAGCUAGUUGGUAAGGUAACGGCUUACCAAGGCGACGAUGCGUAGCCGACCUGAGAGGGUGAUCGGACACACUGGAACUGAGACACGGUCCAGACUCCUACGGGAGGCAGCAGUAGGGAAUCUUCCGCAAUGGGAGAAAGCCUGAAGGAGCAACGCCGCGUGAGUGAUGAAGGUCUUCGGAUCGUAAAACUCUGUUAUUAGGGAAGAACAAAUGUGUAAGUAACUAUGCACGUCUUGACGGUACCUAAUCAGAAAGCCACGGCUAACUACGUG